RNAcentral lists this ribosomal RNA (253 nucleotides) under uncultured bacterium. Its description in RNAcentral is "partial 16S ribosomal RNA". It matches the Rfam family "Bacterial small subunit ribosomal RNA", at positions 524 to 776 of the family's 1533-position model. The record is from RNAcentral.
CACGUAGGGCGCAAGCGUUGUCCGGAAUUAUUGGGCGUAAAGAGCUCGUAGGCGGUCUGUUGCGUCCGCUGUGAAAACUCGGGGCUUAACCCCGAGCCUGCAGUGGAUACGGGCAGACUAGAGGUAGGUAGGGGAGAAUGGAAUUCCCGGUGUAGCGGUGAAAUGCGCAGAUAUCGGGAGGAACACCAGUGGCGAAGGCGGCUUCCUGGACCUGAUCUGACGCUGAGGAGCGAAAGCGUGGGGAGCGAUCCGG